This 472-nucleotide ribosomal RNA is filed under the name marine sediment bacterium BB0608_AND_5.1_3S0. RNAcentral's name for it is "bacterial SSU rRNA". It matches the Rfam family "Bacterial small subunit ribosomal RNA", at positions 106 to 574 of the family's 1533-position model. The record is from RNAcentral.
GUGAGUAACGCGUGGGAAUCUACCUGGUAGUGGGGGACAACAGUCGGAAACGACUGCUAAUACCGCAUACGCCCUUCGGGGGAAAGUGGGGGAUCUUCGGACCUCACGCUAUCAGAUGAGCCCGCGUCGGAUUAGCUUGUUGGUGAGGUAAAGGCUCACCAAGGCGAUGAUCCGUAGCUGGUCUGAGAGGAUGACCAGCCACACUGGGACUGAGACACGGCCCAGACUCCUACGGGAGGCAGCAGUGGGGAAUAUUGGACAAUGGGGGCAACCCUGAUCCAGCCAUGCCGCGUGUGUGAAGAAGGCCUUCGGGUUGUAAAGCACUUUCAGCUGUGAGGAAAGGCGAGUGGUUAAUACCCGCUUGCUGUGACGUUAACAGCAGAAGAAGGACCGGCUAACUCCGUGCCAGCAGCCGCGGUAAUACGGAGGGUCCGAGCGUUAAUCGGAAUUACUGGGCGUAAAGCGCGCGUAG